This 62-nucleotide transfer RNA is filed under the name Cryptorhamphus sp. RNAcentral's name for it is "tRNA-Pro". The record is from RNAcentral. Lineage: Eukaryota; Metazoa; Arthropoda; Insecta; Hemiptera; Cryptorhamphidae.
CAGUAAGUAGUUUAUUAAAAUAUUAAUUUUGGAGAUUAAAGAUGGGUACUUCUCUUUACUGA